UAACAAGGAUUCCCCUAGUAACUGCGAGUGAAGCGGGAAAAGCUCAAAUUUAAAAUCUGGCAGUCUUUUUUUGGCUGUCCGAAUUGUAGUCUGGAGAAGUGCUUUCCGCGCUGGACCGUGUACAAGUCUCUUGGAACAGAGCGUCAUAGAGGGUGAGAAUCCCGUCUUUGACACGGACAAUCAGUGCUUUGUGAUGUGCUCUCAAAGAGUCGAGUUGUUUGGGAAUGCAGCUCAAAAUGGGUGGUAAAUUCCAUCUAAAGCUAAAUAUUGGCGAGAGACCGAUAGCGAACAAGUACCGUGAGGGAAAGAUGAAAAGCACUUUGGAAAGAGAGUUAAACAGUACGUGAAAUUGCUGAAAGGGAAACGCUUGAAGUCAGUCGCGUUGGCCAGAACUCAGCCUUGCUUUUUUGCUUGGUGCACUUUCUGGUUGACGGGCCAGCAUCAAUUUUGACUGCUGGAUAAAGGUUGGGGGAAUGUGGCACCUUAGGGUGUGUUAUAGCCCUCAGUCCGCAUACAGUGGUUGGGAUUGGGGAUCUCAGUACGCCUUUAAGGCAAGGGGCUUUAAUUUCCCUAUGCUCGUGCUUAGGAUGCUGGCAU
This 597-nucleotide ribosomal RNA is filed under the name Polyporales sp. LAS6497. Its description in RNAcentral is "LSU rRNA". It matches the Rfam family "Eukaryotic large subunit ribosomal RNA", at positions 66 to 632 of the family's 3401-position model. The record is from RNAcentral. Lineage: Eukaryota; Fungi; Basidiomycota; Agaricomycetes; Polyporales.